UAGAUUUUAUGAUUCUUCUGUAGUGACAGCUAUGAGAAGCCUUUGUGGCCCUGCAAGGGGUAUCUGCCGCGACUAUAAACAAAGAUGUGGGUAUUAAAUCGCAAGUCAGUCCGUGAGGAUUUGGCUACACUUUCGAAUUGCGGGGACACCCUAAAGCUCAGCCUACCAAACCAUUGAGGAAACUCUUUGGUGGCCUAUACUAACAGUAUAGGGUACGGUAAUAAUGGCCUUGAGAUAUAUAGUAUGGGUAAUCCGCAGCCAAGUCUCUAAGGCCAUACCGGCUAUGAGGAAGGUUCACAGACUAAGUGGAAGUGGGCUGUUUGUUCAGCUUAAGAUAUAGUCGGGCCCUGCAAGAAAUUGCUUGGGAAUGUCAUAAUAAACCGUUCCGUAGGUGAACCUGCGGAAGGAUCAUUAAAAAUUGAAUCUGCAGUUAGGUUAGCCCUGCUGUGGUAUUUAAACCACAUUGUGAACCAAAAAAACUUUGCUUCGGUAGCAGGUUGGCUCAGGUUUUACCUGUUCCAGCUGUCAGCCUGCCGGCAGCACCAAUUAAACUUGUUUUAAAAAACUAGUCUGAUAACCAUUAUUUUCGAAUGAAAAUUAAAACUUUCAACAACGGAUCUCUUGGUUCUCGCAUCGAUGAAGAACGCAGCGAAACGCGAUAGUUAAUGUGAAUUGCAGAAUUCAGUGAAUCAUCGAGUCUUUGAACGCACAUUGCGCCUUUUGGUAUUCCGAAAGGCAUGUCUGUUUGAGCGUCAUUUCAACACUCUAUCUGGCUUAAUUGUCGGUUAGGUUUUGAGCCAGGCCCAGCAAUGGACCGGUUUUAAAGUUGAACGCUCUGCGGGUGACUUAGCCUGACCGAACAUAGUAAAAUUUUGAAUUGUUCAUAAAGCAAAGUGAAACUCAGCCUGAACAAAACCAUAUUUCUUAGGUUUGACCUCAGAUCAGACAAGGAUACCCGCUGAACUUAAGCAUAUCAAUAAGCGGAGGAAAAGAAACCAACAGGGAUUGCCUUAGUAACGGCGAGUGAAGCGGCAACAGCUCAAAUUUGAAAUCUGAGGUUUUUAACUUCCGAGUUGUAAUUUGAAGAGGAUGCUUCGGUUGUGGCCUGGGCCUAAGUUCCUUGGAACAGGACGUCGUAGAGGGUGAGAAUCCCGUACACGGCUACCGGCUUACUUCCAUGUGUAGCUCCUUCGAAGAGUCGAGUUGUUUGGGAAUGCAGCUCAAAAUGGGUGGUAAAUUUCAUCUAAAGCUAAAUACUGGCGAGAGACCGAUAGCGCACAAGUAGAGUGAUCGAAAGAUGAAAAGCACUUUGAAAAGAGAGUUAAACAGUACGUGAAAUUGUUGAAAGGGAAGCGUUUGCAAUCAGACUUGCUUUUAGUUGAUCAACGUUCCUUUUGGUUCGUGCACUCUGCUAUUUGCAGGCCAGCAUCAGUUAGAGCGGUGGGACAAAGACUCUGGGAAUGUGGCUCUCUUCGGGGAGUGUUAUAGCCCAGUGUGUAAUGCUACCUGUUCUGACUGAGGUCCGCGAUUUAUCUAGGAUGCUGGCAUAAUGAUUGUAAACGACCCGUCUUGAAACACGGACCAAGGAGUCUAACAUCUAUGCGAGUGUUUGGGUGUCAAACCCAUACGCGAAAUGAAAGUGAACGGAGGUGGGAGUCUCACGACGCACCAUCGACCGAUCCUGAUGUUUUCGGAUGGAUUUGAGUAGGAGCAUAGCUGUUGGGACCCGAAAGAUGGUGAACUAUGCCUGAAUAGGGUGAAGCCAGAGGAAACUCUGGUGGAGGCUCGCAGCGGUUCUGACGUGCAAAUCGAUCGUCAAAUUUGGGUAUAGGGGCGAAAGACUA
RNAcentral lists this ribosomal RNA (1844 nucleotides) under Orbilia caulicola. RNAcentral's name for it is "eukaryotic LSU rRNA". The stretch from base 932 to 1844 matches the Rfam family "Eukaryotic large subunit ribosomal RNA", at positions 1 to 933 of the family's 3401-position model. The record is from RNAcentral. Lineage: Eukaryota; Fungi; Ascomycota; Orbiliomycetes; Orbiliales; Orbiliaceae.